UACGUAGGGUGCAAGCGUUAAUCGGAAUUACUGGGCGUAAAGCGUGCGCAGGCGGUGAUGUAAGACAGGUGUGAAAUCCCCGGGCUCAACCUGGGAACUGCGCUUGUGACUGGAAGGCUAGAGUACGGCAGAGGGGGGUGGAAUUCCACGUGUAGCAGUGAAAUGCGUAGAGAUGUGGAGGAACACCAAUGGCGAAGGCAGCCCCCUGGGUCGAUACUGACGCUCAUGCACGAAAGCGUGGGUAGCAAACAGG
Molecule: ribosomal RNA, 253 nt
Filed under: uncultured bacterium
Lineage: Bacteria
Description: partial 16S ribosomal RNA
Rfam family: Bacterial small subunit ribosomal RNA
Source: RNAcentral